This 292-nucleotide ribosomal RNA is filed under the name uncultured bacterium. Its description in RNAcentral is "partial 16S ribosomal RNA". It matches the Rfam family "Bacterial small subunit ribosomal RNA", at positions 505 to 796 of the family's 1533-position model. The record is from RNAcentral.
GUGUCAGCCGCCGCGGUAAUACGUAGGGUGCGAGCGUUAAUCGGAAUUACUGGGCGUAAAGAGUGCGUAGGCGGUUCGCUGUGUCCGAUGUGAAAGCCCCGGGCUCAACCUGGGAAUGGCAUGGGAAACUGGCGAGCUUGAGUGUGGCAGAGGGGGGUGGAAUUCCGCGUGUAGCAGUGAAAUGCGUAGAGAUGCGGAGGAACACCGAUGGCGAAGGCAGCCCCCUGGGCCAACACUGACGCUCAGGCACGAAAGCGUGGGGAGCAAACAGGAUUAGAUACCCUCGUAGUCC